CAUCAAUACUGUACAUUCAAAUGUAGCUUGACUAAAGUGGCUGACAAGCUGAUGAAAACAAACAACAAAUACUGAUAAACAAUCUGUUUUAAGAUGUACUGUUUGGAUUAAAAACAAAGAUGUAACCUUAUCAUCAUAUGGUAUAUAUGCCCAACAAUGAAUUAAUACAUACCUCUAACGAUCAGUACCCCUUGGAAUGUGGUCAUAUUAUGAAGGUCAUAGGGUCAUCACCAGGUUACCACAUCAAUUAUCAUCUUGCUAAUGAGGUCAAUACUCAUACAUUAAGGUGAGUCCAUAUUGUUAUGAAGGUCAUAGGGUCAUCACCAGGUUACCACAUCAAUUAUCAUCUUGAUAAUGAGGUCAGUACUCAUACAUUAAGGUGAGUCCAUAUUGUUAUGAAGGUCAUAGGGUCAUCACCAGGUUACCACAUCAAUUAUCAUCUUGCUAAUGAGGUCAGUACUAAUACAUUAAGGUGAGUCCAUAAUUUGUAUUGAAGGUCACGGGGUCAUCACCAGGUUACCACAUUAAUUAUCAUCUUGAUAAGUUUUUUGCUUCUUUUAAGGCAGUAAAUCCAUGGUUAGCUUGCUGAUUUUCGUGCAUAUAUUGGUUAGGGUCAAGGUGCAGUGUGACUAUCAGGCUCAGAUGUCAAGAAACGACGGCCAUCUUGUUACAGGCUCAAUCGACGGUUUUACGAAGAAAU
Long non-coding RNA from Actinia tenebrosa (Australian red waratah sea anemone), 700 nucleotides. NCBI's taxonomy places the organism in Eukaryota, Metazoa, Cnidaria, Anthozoa, Actiniaria, Actiniidae. The record is from RefSeq and is a predicted model, not a curated record.